Molecule: long non-coding RNA, 294 nt
Organism: Lytechinus variegatus (green sea urchin)
Lineage: Eukaryota; Metazoa; Echinodermata; Echinoidea; Temnopleuroida; Toxopneustidae
Exons: 4
Source: RefSeq, a predicted model, not a curated record
GUGCUCUUCAGUUGUGUAAAAGCAUUUCGACAAAGGUUCCUCGAUUCAGACUUUGAUCAUAACAACAGUACGGAAAUUGGACUGGCGAAGAUAUGGCAUCAAAACUAAAACUUGUCGCUGUUCUCAUCUCUCUUGUUAUGCAUGUCAUCGCAUCCAAUGCAUUCACUGAAGAUGGCACAUCGAUUAACGUCCUACUCGAUGAAGGAUAUGAUAAUUGUAUGAAGGCAAAAGCAAACAACGCUUUUUGCAAGGUUAUAGAGAAUCUAGCUGAAUUCUUAGACGGAAAAUCACGGG